Long non-coding RNA from Lynx canadensis (Canada lynx), 107 nucleotides. RefSeq lists it as uncharacterized. Lineage: Eukaryota; Metazoa; Chordata; Mammalia; Carnivora; Felidae. The record is from RefSeq and is a predicted model, not a curated record. The transcript is spliced from 3 exons.
AAAUGGAUGAAGGGAAGAGGGAGAUACAGGCUUCCAGUUGUGGAAUGAAUAUGUCACAGGAUUAAAAAGCACAGCAUAAAAAACAGGAAUAUAAUCAAUGAUAUUAU